This 91-nucleotide transfer RNA is filed under the name Streptomyces griseofuscus. Its description in RNAcentral is "tRNA-Arg". The record is from RNAcentral. Lineage: Bacteria; Bacillati; Actinomycetota; Actinomycetes; Kitasatosporales; Streptomycetaceae.
UUGUGCGGCUCGGUCGACGCGGUGAACCUGAGCGUCCUGGCCUCGUCGGGAAGAGCGUUACGGAAGCCGAGUUCGGGCUCGGUCGCGCGGU